Molecule: ribosomal RNA, 430 nt
Filed under: Pseudomonadota bacterium
Lineage: Bacteria; Pseudomonadati; Pseudomonadota
Description: Proteobacteria bacterium partial 16S ribosomal RNA
Rfam family: Bacterial small subunit ribosomal RNA
Source: RNAcentral
UGGGGAAUAUUGGACAAUGGGGGGAACCCUGAUCCAGCCAUGCCGCGUGUGUGAAGAAGGCCUUAUGGUUGUAAAGCACUUUAAGCGAGGAGGAGGGUACUGGUAUUAAUACUACCAGGUACUGGACGUUACUCGCAGAAUAAGCACCGGCUAACUCUGUGCCAGCAGCCGCGGUAAUACAGAGGGUGCGAGCGUUAAUCGGAUUUACUGGGCGUAAAGCGUGCGUAGGCGGCUAAUUGAGUCGGAUGUGAAAUCCCCGAGCUUACCGUGGGAAUUGCAUUCGAUACUGGUUAGCUAGAGUGUGGGAGAGGAUGGUAGAAUUCCAGGUGUAGCGGUGAAAUGCGUAGGGAUCUGGAGGAAUACCGAUGGCGAAAGCAGCCAUCUGGCCUAACACUGACGCUGAGGUACGAAAGCAUGGGGAGCAAACAGG